This 402-nucleotide ribosomal RNA is filed under the name uncultured bacterium. Its description in RNAcentral is "bacterial SSU rRNA". It matches the Rfam family "Bacterial small subunit ribosomal RNA", at positions 361 to 772 of the family's 1533-position model. The record is from RNAcentral.
AUUUUCGGCAAUGGGGGGAACCCUGACCGAGCAACGCCGCGCGAACGAAGAAGUUAUUCGUAAUGUAAAGUUCUUUUAUCAGGGAAGAACAGAAGAGAAUUGACGGUACCUGAUGAAUAAGCUACGGCUAACUACGUGCCAGCAGCCGCGGUAAUACGUAGGGAGCGAGCGUUAUCCGGAAUUAUUGGGCGUAAAGGGUGCGUAGAUGGUGGAUAAAGUCUUUUGUAAAAAUGCUAGGCUCAACCUAGUAGGGCAAAAGAUACUAAUUGACUAGAGUAUGACAGAGGCAAGUGGAACUACAUGUGUAGCGGUAAAAUGCGUAAAUAUAUGUAAGAACACCGGUGGCGAAGGCGGCUUGCUGGGUCGAUACUGACAUUGAGGCACGAAAGCGUGGGGAGCAAA